RNAcentral lists this long non-coding RNA (252 nucleotides) under Homo sapiens (human). RNAcentral's name for it is "non-protein coding LINC00115:8". Lineage: Eukaryota; Metazoa; Chordata; Mammalia; Primates; Hominidae. The record is from RNAcentral.
UUUUAAUAGAAUAUGUCUUUAUUUCAGUAUCUUAAAUAGUGAAGAUGGAGAAAUAGUCAAUAAUGAAGAGCAUGAAUAUGCAUCCAAAAAAAGGAAAAAGGACCAUUUUAGAAAUGACACAAAUACUCAAAGUUUUUAUCAUGAAAAAUGGAUCUAUGUCCAUAAAGAAAGCACAAAAGAAAGGCAUGGCUAUUGCACCUUGGGAGAAGCCUUUAAUCGGUUAGACUUCUCAAGUGCAAUUCAAGAUAUCCG